AACGAACGCUGGCGGCGUGCUUAACACAUGCAAGUCGAGCGGUAAGGCCCUUUCGGGGGUACGACGAGCGGCGAACGGGUGAGUAACACGUGGGUGACCUGCCCUCAGCUCUGGGAUAAGCCUGGGAAACCGGGUCUAAUACUGGAUAUGACUCCAUGACGCAUGUUGUGGGGUGGAAAGCCUUGUGCGGCUGAGGAUGGGCCCGCGGCCUAUCAGCUUGUUGGUGGGGUGAUGGCCUACCAAGGCGACGACGGUAGCCGGCCUGAGAGGGCGACCGGCCACACUGGGACUGAGACACGGCCCAGACUCCUACGGGAGGCAGCAGUGGGGAAUCUUGCGCAAUGGGCGAAAGCCUGACGCAGCGACGCCGCGUGAGGGAUGACGGCCU
This 388-nucleotide ribosomal RNA is filed under the name uncultured bacterium. Its description in RNAcentral is "bacterial SSU rRNA". It matches the Rfam family "Bacterial small subunit ribosomal RNA", at positions 28 to 417 of the family's 1533-position model. The record is from RNAcentral.